Non-coding RNA from Musca domestica (house fly), 46 nucleotides. The record is from Rfam. NCBI's taxonomy places the organism in Eukaryota, Metazoa, Arthropoda, Insecta, Diptera, Muscidae.
CUUAAGGAUUUUCUUGAAUCCACUAUCAUUUCUACACAAGUCCUUU